UGCAUCGAUGAAGAACGCAGCGAAACGCGAUAGGUAAUGUGAAUUGCAGAAUUCCGUGAAUCAUCGAAUCUUUGAACGCACCUUGCGCUCCAUGGCAUUCCGUGGAGCAUGCCUGUUUGAGUGCCGCGAAAUCUCCCACCCCUAGCGGUUGCCGCAAGGCGCCGCCGGGCGGCGGGGUUGGUUGGGUGCCGCUGCCUGGGCUUUGGCCCAGGCUCGCCCGAAAUGCAUGAGCGCUUAGCACCCGCACCGUCUCGAGGGAAGGCGGCGGAGCUGGCAUCUGCGCAUGGCAUGAUACGUCAUUUGCUGUGUGGCAGCCCAGCGACCCGAGAGUGUGUGUGCGCUACUACACGCCCUUUCAUUUCUGGUCUCAAAUCAGGUAGGAUCACCCGCUGAACUUAAGCAUAUCAAUAAGCGGAGGA
Molecule: ribosomal RNA, 419 nt
Filed under: uncultured fungus
Lineage: Eukaryota; Fungi
Description: eukaryotic LSU rRNA
Rfam family: 5.8S ribosomal RNA (bases 1-126)
Source: RNAcentral